This is a non-coding RNA of Arachis ipaensis, 1178 nucleotides long. Lineage: Eukaryota; Viridiplantae; Streptophyta; Magnoliopsida; Fabales; Fabaceae. The record is from RefSeq and is a predicted model, not a curated record.
UUUUUAAGUGUUGUCUAAAAUUUUUAAUGUUUCUUAAAAAAACAAAAAUAACCCAAACGGCAAGGCUAACUAUUAUGCGGAGAAAAAGGGGAGAAAAAAAAAAAAGAGUCUCUCGUUCCUAGCAAAACCCCAACCCUAACGAAAUCCCUAACCCCAAUCCAUUCCAAAUGAUUCAUUCUUCUCUUGUUCUUCAAUCCAUUCGAUGAUGACGCGUAUUCCUUUAUUGAGCUUCGAUCUCAAUCUCUGCUCGCGAAUGAGCUUCGAUCUUCUCUGCUCGCGAAUAAGCUUCGAUUCUCUGCUCGUUGAGCUUCGAUCCUCUGCUCCUCUUCUUGUUGAGCUUCUAUUAUUCUCUGCUCGUUGAGCUUCGAUUCUCUGCUCGUUGAGCUUCAAUCCUCUGCUAAUUGAGCUUCGAUCUUCUCUGCUCGUGUUCAUCACCGCCGGUCACUGUUCGAUUAUCACUGCUCGCAUUUUUUGUAAGAUUCUCGUUUUUGGCAUUCUUCUGCAGCCGAUUAAAUCACGAACCUAACAGAAAUUUUGCAAUAGCCGGCAGCAGAGGCUGUAAAUCGCUUCUGUCACCGUCAUCGUUGUAUAGCUCGAAGGAAGCACCAGCUUCACAAUCGGCAUCAUUGCUAAGGCCACGGAAUUGUGGAAACCUUGGUGACUGGAAUGGGAGACGUCGGAUAAGGGGCUGAAAAAGUGGUCCGGAGAUGGCAAAAAUCAUGUUCCUCUCUUUUUGUGUUCAUCUAUACUGCCAUCACAAUUGAAGAACAAAAAUGGUAGCAAAAGAGAUGUGUUUCUUCAACAAGACCCUGAUUUUUCUUCUAUUCAAAGUUAGAAUAGGACAUUUUAAUACAUAUAUUUAACAACUCACCUAUUUGUAUAAGAGUAUCAUGUCUAAACAAUAUUGAUGUCACAGGUUUCGCAGAAGCUGGGCUUAUUGAAAGCAAGCUUUCAAGACGUGAUAUACAGUUGUUUACAGAUGAAAACGGUGGCCCAUUUUAAUUACUUCUCUCCUGAAAGCCCUUUAUCACGCCAAGAUCUUGUUAGUUAAAAAAUAGCCAUGGAGAAGACACAGCUUCCUGAAGCUGAUAAAAAGGUUUCUUAACUUGUUACUUUGAUAUGCUCAACUAUACUCUUGAUUCAAGUUACAUUGAACUGAUAUGCUUGCGUUCAUCAAA